This 588-nucleotide ribosomal RNA is filed under the name uncultured bacterium. RNAcentral's name for it is "bacterial SSU rRNA". It matches the Rfam family "Bacterial small subunit ribosomal RNA", at positions 337 to 917 of the family's 1533-position model. The record is from RNAcentral.
UCCUACGGGAGGCAGCAGUGGGGAAUAUUGGACAAUGGGCGCAAGCCUGAUCCAGCCAUGCCGCGUGCAGGAUGAAGGCCUUCGGGUUGUAAACUGCUUUUGUACGGAAAGAAAAGCGAUCGGCUAAUACCCGGCGGAGCUGACGGUACCUGAGGAAUAAGCACCGGCUAACUUCGUGCCAGCAGCCGCGGUAAUACGAAGGGUGCAAGCGUUAAUCGGAAUUACUGGGCGUAAAGCGUGCGUAGGCGGUGAGUUAAGUCUGCUGUGAAAUCCCCGGGCUCAACCUGGGAAUGGCAGUGGAUACUGGCUCGCUAGAGUGUAUCAGAGGAUGGUGGAAUUCCCGGUGUAGCGGUGAAAUGCGUAGAGAUCGGGAGGAACAUCAGUGGCGAAGGCGGCCAUCUGGGACAACACUGACGCUGAGGCACGAAAGCGUGGGGAGCAAACAGGAUUAGAUACCCUGGUAGUCCACGCCCUAAACGAUGCGAACUGGAUGUUGGUCUCAACUCGGAGAUCAGUGUCGAAGCUAACGCGUUAAGUUCGCCGCCUGGGGAGUACGGUCGCAAGACUGAACUCAAAUGAAUUGACGGA